Molecule: long non-coding RNA, 580 nt
Filed under: Pan troglodytes (chimpanzee)
Lineage: Eukaryota; Metazoa; Chordata; Mammalia; Primates; Hominidae
Description: long non-coding RNA NONPTRT002259
Source: RNAcentral
GAAAGGAGGUGUCUGGAACUCAGAACUGCCUCCAAGCCUGCUCCAGCCCAGACAGCCCUGAGUCAUUGUGAGGCCUGUAAAUGAGGAAGUUGUCCUGGUUCUUCAAGAGUGAACAUCAGAAUCACCUGUGGCAAUUUUCAUAACCCUAAAUGCUCAAGGCUCACCCUGGGCCCAUGGAACAAGGGACAUUCAGGUGCCAGGGUUUCACCAUUGAUGAGAGGGAGGCCUUUUUCAGCGCCAUGACAUACGUAACCACUUCCAUCUGAUUUUUUGGAUUCAUGCUUACAUUGCAACAGGCAACACCGCAGAAGGUGCAAACAAAAGACUUUGCUAAAUUGGAUUCAAGGCCAAAAUACGAGUUUUCAUGUGAAAGUUGGAGGUGGAAAAGUGAGAAUAGCCAAGAAUAUCUCACAUGUGUAAUCCAGUGGUCUGAAGCUCCAGAUGGCCCCACUUAAUUGUGCCUUGCUUUCUCCCCUGUCUUAACAGGGUCUUGCAGUUUGGAGCAUAGAACCUGAGCGUAGAGACAGAGAGGUCCCUCACAAGUAGACGUCUUCAAGCAGAGAAGAACAUUGCAUUGCCC